GAAAACUGAUAGCCGUGUGAUGUAACUGCCUUCUUGUGGAACUGCUCCAGUGUUUUCUCUCCGCAGGGAAAACACUGGAGAAUGGGUUGUGCAAAAUAAGAAAAGAAACCACGAAGACAUAGGAUCCAGGAAACAAGACCUGAACCAGGAAUGAGACAAAGGGAUGUCCAGAGGACGGUCAAAGAUGCACUGUCCUUGGCUGCAGUGACUGUGUCGCCUUGCAAAAAGUCGGCUACGCCACACUGUGUCUGAGUAGCUCUGCCAGGCCACCGUUCCUGCG
Neogale vison (American mink) is the source of this 280-nucleotide long non-coding RNA. RefSeq lists it as uncharacterized. The record is from RefSeq and is a predicted model, not a curated record. NCBI's taxonomy places the organism in Eukaryota, Metazoa, Chordata, Mammalia, Carnivora, Mustelidae. The transcript has 3 exons.